GACGAACGCUGGCGGCGUGCUUAACACAUGCAAGUCGUACGGUAAGGCCCUUUCGGGGGUACACGAGUGGCGAACGGGUGAGUAACACGUGAGUAACCUGCCCACAACUUUGGGAUAACGCUAGGAAACUGGUGCUAAUACUGGAUAUGUGCUCCUGCUGCAUGGUGGGGGUUGGAAAGCUCCGGCGGUUGUGGAUGGACUCGCGGCCUAUCAGCUUGUUGGUGGGGUAGUGGCCUACCAAGGCGGCGACGGGUAGCCGGCCGGAGAGGGUGACCGGCCACAUUGGGACUGAGAUACGGCCCAGACUCCUACGGGAGGCAGCAGUGGGGAAGAUUGCACAAUGGGCGCAAGCCUGAUGCAGCAACGCCGCGUGCGGGAUGACGGCCUUCGGGUUGUAAACCGCUUUCAGCAGGGACGAAGCUUUUUGUGACGGUACCUGCAGAAGAAGCACCGGCUAACUACGUG
RNAcentral lists this ribosomal RNA (465 nucleotides) under uncultured bacterium. RNAcentral's name for it is "partial 16S ribosomal RNA". It matches the Rfam family "Bacterial small subunit ribosomal RNA", at positions 28 to 507 of the family's 1533-position model. The record is from RNAcentral.